GCGUUCACAGGAGUCCCCUGACACCUCCCACCCGGAAGAUAGCUAACGGGGGUCCUGCCAACCCUUCCCAUCCAACUUCCAUCUGAAAAGGAUUUUCUGCUAAAGUUGGGUCCACGGCCAUCCGGCACCUGUAAAGCCGGCGGGAGCGUCUGCCCUCUACUCAGUUAAAGCCUGAAGUCGUUUCCUUUCGAUGGCCCUUAGGAGGCUCAAAAGAGGGGCGACAGAUCGUGAUGUGACACGGGCCGGGCGCCCCCAGAAACCCGGGAACAAACGUUUCUACUUUCCAGGUCCACUGGUGUUUGGUGUACCCAUGUGACUAAUUUGUCCAAAGAGAUAUCUCAGCUGAAAUGAAACCUCCUCAGAAAAAUUUGUUCCUGACAAAUUAUAACUCAAAAAUCAAAAAUUUCUAAGACCUUUGUUAUUCUCUUUAUCAUAGCAUUGUACUCAUUUUCUUCUUAGUACUUAGAAACGUCUAUAAUUGUUUUACUUCUUUGUUUACCAUUAACUGUCUGUAUCCUUUA
Molecule: long non-coding RNA, 521 nt
Filed under: Pongo abelii (Sumatran orangutan)
Lineage: Eukaryota; Metazoa; Chordata; Mammalia; Primates; Hominidae
Description: lincRNA
Source: RNAcentral